Long non-coding RNA from Amphiprion ocellaris (clown anemonefish), 580 nucleotides. The record is from Ensembl. NCBI's taxonomy places the organism in Eukaryota, Metazoa, Chordata, Actinopteri, Pomacentridae.
UUUUCUUUCAGUUUGUAUUUAAAAAUUCUGAUCUAACGUCUUUAAACCUCCCUCAGACACCGUAUUAGGCGGUGUUGUUGUGAUUUUUACACGGCUCCUCUACGCGGGGUGCGUCACUGCCUUCACCGUACCGGGGCUGUGUCGUCGGGUAAAAGAGUACCGUACCACACCUGACGGACAGUGCUGCCCGAUGUGCCCAGAAGGUAAAGCUGUUUAAAGAGACACCAGAGUCGGUGCAGCCCCUGUGAAAGGGGACUUUCACCAACUAACCAGUGGCCUGAAAAAAUGCUUCCUCCGAACUUCAUGUGACUCAGAUGCUCUCAAACGAAAGUGAAGUUCAACGAAUGAAGCCUGAACAACAACACUGUCUGUGGCAGUUUCUACCUCUUUUUUUUUUAUGCUUUUCUCACUAACAUUUGCUGGGAUGCCGACAAAAGCCUCACCUGUUGUCAAGCUGGAAACCUCUCAGGAGACCAAACAUAAUAACCGAAACCCAACAUGGACGGUUAAACACAGGAACUGCAGCUGUAGCAAGUAAAAUCAUACAGAUAAACACUGAUUAAUAAACCAGUAAAGAGCC